GAUGAACGCUGGCGGCGUGCCUAAUACAUGCAAGUCGAGCGAACAGACGAGGAGCUUGCUCCUCUGACGUUAGCGGCGGACGGGUGAGUAACACGUGGAUAACCUACCUAUAAGACUGGGAUAACUUCGGGAAACCGGAGCUAAUACCGGAUAAUAUAUUGAACCGCAUGGUUCAAUAGUGAAAGACGGUUUUGCUGUCACUUAUAGAUGGAUCCGCGCCGCAUUAGCUAGUUGGUAAGGUAACGGCUUACCAAGGCAACGAUGCGUAGCCGACCUGAGAGGGUGAUCGGCCACACUGGAACUGAGACACGGUCCAGACGCCUACGGGAGGCAGCAGUAGGGAAUCUUCCGCAAUGGGCGAAAGCCUGACGGAGCAACGCCGCGUGAGUGAUGAAGGCCUUCGGAUCGUAAAACUCUGUUAUUAGGGAAGAACAAAUGUGUAAGUAACUAUGCACGUCUUGACGGUACCUAAUCAGAAAGCCACGGCUAACUACGUG
RNAcentral lists this ribosomal RNA (497 nucleotides) under uncultured bacterium. Its description in RNAcentral is "partial 16S ribosomal RNA". It matches the Rfam family "Bacterial small subunit ribosomal RNA", at positions 28 to 507 of the family's 1533-position model. The record is from RNAcentral.